AGUGGGGUUAAGGUUGUUCGGGCAACCAGGAACCAUUAGUUACGUCGCGUGCACCCCCCCCCCCUUCUCUCUGGCGGGCUGGGGCGAAACUAGUUCCUGGUGUCCGAUUUGUUAGUUUCUACUCCUGGUAAUAUUGACCUUACCUGGUGUGGGUUGAAGUUUGGAGAGUCACUUCACCUCCACUCUUCUCCUAAUCAGCUCUGUUCCUGGCGUGGUCUUCCAGGAUAGACGCCAGAUAAAGGAGCAAGACGUGUUAAUAAUACUUAUUAACAAUAUUCUACUACUACCGGCCCUUACCUAUUCUACUUGUGCUCCAUCCAAGUGGUAGGAGAUUCCAGAACAUCGGAUUGUUACCAUCUGCCCCAGGAUAACCCACAUAAAUAACAUCAGAGGAACUAUCCAGGGCCAUACCUACUCCUGCCCAACUAAAAGAAACUGAAGGCCAAUUUUUUUUAUUAUAUUUAAAUUUUAAGUAAAAUUCUCAAAAAUCA
Molecule: non-coding RNA, 491 nt
Organism: Cherax quadricarinatus
Lineage: Eukaryota; Metazoa; Arthropoda; Malacostraca; Decapoda; Parastacidae
Source: RefSeq, a predicted model, not a curated record